AGGUGUGAUCAUACCAGCACUAAUGCACCGGAUCCCAUCAGAACUCCGCAGUGAAGCGUGCUUGGGCGAUAGUAGUACUAGGAUGGGUGACCUCCUGGGAAGUCCUCGUGUUGCACUUC
RNAcentral lists this ribosomal RNA (119 nucleotides) under Phaseolus vulgaris (common bean). Lineage: Eukaryota; Viridiplantae; Streptophyta; Magnoliopsida; Fabales; Fabaceae. The record is from RNAcentral.